Molecule: ribosomal RNA, 257 nt
Filed under: Acinetobacter baumannii
Lineage: Bacteria; Pseudomonadati; Pseudomonadota; Gammaproteobacteria; Moraxellales; Moraxellaceae
Description: partial 23S ribosomal RNA
Rfam family: Bacterial large subunit ribosomal RNA
Source: RNAcentral
GAUGUCGGCUCAUCUCAUCCUGGGGCUGAAGCAGGUCCCAAGGGUAUGGCUGUUCGCCAUUUAAAGAGGUACGCGAGCUGGGUUUAGAACGUCGUGAGACAGUUCGGUCCCUAUCUACCGUGGGCGCUGGAAAUUUGAGAGGAUCUGCUCCUAGUACGAGAGGACCAGAGUGGACGAACCUCUGGUGUACCGGUUGUGACGCCAGUCGCAUCGCCGGGCAGCUAUGUUCGGAAGGGAUAACCGCUGAAAGCAUCUAA